CCAAUAGCGUAUAUUAAAGUUGUUGCAGUUAAAAAGCUCGUAGUUGAAUUUUAGGCCUGGCCGGGCGGUCCGUCUUUGGCGAGUACUGUCCUGUGUCGGGUCCACCUUCUGGUGAACCAGUAUGUCCUUUAUUGGGUGUUUUGGGGAGCCAGGACCAUUACCUUGAAAAAAUUAGAGUGUUUAAAGCGGGCUAUUGCUUGAAUAGAUUAGCAUGGAAUAAUAGAAUAGGACGGCAUGGUUCUAUUUUGUUGGUUUCUAGGAUCACCGUAAUGAUUAAUAGGGAUAGUUGGGGGCAUUAGUAUUCAAUUGUCAGAGGUGAAAUUCUUGGAUUUAUUGAAGACUAACUACUGCGAAAGCAUUUGCCAAGGAUGUUUUCAUUAAUCAAGAACGAAAGUUAGGGGAUCGAAGACGAUCAGAUACCGUCGUAGUCUUAACCAUAAACUAUGCCGACUAGGAAUCAGACGAUGUUAAUUUUUUAAUGACUCGUUUGGCACCUUACA
This 500-nucleotide unclassified non-coding RNA is filed under the name uncultured Archaeospora. RNAcentral describes it as "SSU rRNA". It matches the Rfam family "Eukaryotic small subunit ribosomal RNA", at positions 591 to 1092 of the family's 1831-position model. Lineage: Eukaryota; Fungi; Glomeromycota; Glomeromycetes; Archaeosporales; Archaeosporaceae. The record is from RNAcentral.